RNAcentral lists this ribosomal RNA (132 nucleotides) under uncultured bacterium. RNAcentral's name for it is "partial 16S ribosomal RNA". The record is from RNAcentral.
GCCGCGUGCAGUAGACGGUCUUCGGGUUGUAAACUUCUUUUAUGAGGGACAGAAGAAGGCGGCGCCUGCUCAUGAAUAGCCCGCUGCUAACGUUGCCGCCCGCCGCCGUGAUGAUCCAGCCGCCGCGGUAAU